UAGGGAAUCUUCCGCAAUGGACGCAAGUCUGACGGAGCAACGCCGCGUGAGUGAAGAAGGAUUUCGGUUCGUAAAACUCUGUUGUUAGAGAAGAACAGCGCACAGAGUAACUGUUAUGCGUGUGACGGUAUCUAACCAGAAAGCCACGGCUAACUACGUGCCAGCAGCCGCGGUAAUACGUAGGUGGCAAGCGUUGUCCGGAUUUAUUGGGCGUAAAGCGAGCGCAGGCGGUCAAUUAAGUCUGAUGUGAAAGCCCCCGGCUCAACCGGGGAGGGUCAUUGGAAACUGGUUGACUUGAGUGCGGAAGAGGAGAGUGGAAUUCCAUGUGUAGCGGUGAAAUGCGUAGAUAUAUGGAGGAACACCAGUGGCGAAGGCGACUCUCUGGUCUGUAACUGACGCUGAGGCUCGAAAGCGUGGGUAGCAAACAGG
RNAcentral lists this ribosomal RNA (429 nucleotides) under Bacteroidota bacterium. RNAcentral's name for it is "Bacteroidetes bacterium partial 16S ribosomal RNA". It matches the Rfam family "Bacterial small subunit ribosomal RNA", at positions 355 to 776 of the family's 1533-position model. The record is from RNAcentral. Lineage: Bacteria; Pseudomonadati; Bacteroidota.